This 694-nucleotide ribosomal RNA is filed under the name Bacillus pumilus. RNAcentral's name for it is "bacterial SSU rRNA". It matches the Rfam family "Bacterial small subunit ribosomal RNA", at positions 556 to 1251 of the family's 1533-position model. The record is from RNAcentral. Lineage: Bacteria; Bacillati; Bacillota; Bacilli; Caryophanales; Bacillaceae.
GGGCGUAAGGGCUCGCAGGCGGUUUCUUAAGUCUGAUGUGAAAGCCCCCGGCUCAACCGGGGAGGGUCAUUGGAAACUGGGAAACUUGAGUGCAGAAGAGGAGAGUGGAAUUCCACGUGUAGCGGUGAAAUGCGUAGAGAUGUGGAGGAACACCAGUGGCGAAGGCGACUCUCUGGUCUGUAACUGACGCUGAGGAGCGAAAGCGUGGGGAGCGAACAGGAUUAGAUACCCUGGUAGUCCACGCCGUAAACGAUGAGUGCUAAGUGUUAGGGGGUUUCCGCCCCUUAGUGCUGCAGCUAACGCAUUAAGCACUCCGCCUGGGGAGUACGGUCGCAAGACUGAAACUCAAAGGAAUUGACGGGGGCCCGCACAAGCGGUGGAGCAUGUGGUUUAAUUCGAAGCAACGCGAAGAACCUUACCAGGUCUUGACAUCCUCUGACAACCCUAGAGAUAGGGCUUUCCCUUCGGGGACAGAGUGACAGGUGGUGCAUGGUUGUCGUCAGCUCGUGUCGUGAGAUGUUGGGUUAAGUCCCGCAACGAGCGCAACCCUUGAUCUUAGUUGCCAGCAUUCAGUUGGGCACUCUAAGGUGACUGCCGGUGACAAACCGGAGGAAGGUGGGGAUGACGUCAAAUCAUCAUGCCCCUUAUGACCUGGGCUACACACGUGCUACAAUGGACAGAACAAAGGGCUGCG